Molecule: ribosomal RNA, 747 nt
Filed under: uncultured bacterium
Lineage: Bacteria
Description: bacterial SSU rRNA
Rfam family: Bacterial small subunit ribosomal RNA
Source: RNAcentral
ACGCUGGCGGCAGGCCUAACACAUGCAAGUCGAGCGGUAGAGAGAAGCUUGCUUCUCUUGAGAGCGGCGGACGGGUGAGUAAUGCCUAGGAAUCUGCCUGGUAGUGGGGGAUAACGUCCGGAAACGGACGCUAAUACCGCAUACGUCCUACGGGAGAAAGCAGGGGACCUUCGGGCCUUGCGCUAUCAGAUGAGCCUAGGUCGGAUUAGCUAGUCGGUGGGGGUAAUGGCUCCCCAAGGCGACGAUCCGUAACUGGUCUGAGAGGAUGAUCAGUCACACUGGAACUGAGACACGGUCCAGACUCCUACGGGAGGCAGCAGUGGGGAAUAUUGGACAAUGGGCGAAAGCCUGAUCCAGACAUGCCGCGUGUGUGAAGAAGGUCUUCGGGAUUGUAAAGCACUUUAAGUUGGGAGGAAGGGCAGUUACCUAAUACGUGAUUGUUUUGACGUUACCGACAGAAUAAGCACCGGCUAACUCUGUGCCAGCAGCCGCGGUAAUACAGAGGGUGCAAGCGUUAAUCGGAAUUACUGGGCGUAAAGCGCGCGUAGGUGGUUCGUUAAGUUGGAUGUGAAAUCCCCGGGCUCAACCUGGGAACUGCAUUCAAAACUGACGAGCUAGAGUAUGGUAGAGGGUGGUGGAAUUUCCUGUGUAGCGGUGAAAUGCGUAGAUAUAGGAGGGAACACCAGUGGCGAAGGCGACCACCUGGACUGAUACUGACACUGAGGUGCGAAAGCGUGGGGAGCAAAC